GACGAACGCUGGCGGCGUGCUUAACACAUGCAAGUCGAACGGAAAGGCCCUGCUUUUGUGGGGUGCUCGAGUGGCGAACGGGUGAGUAACACGUGAGUAACCUGCCCUUGACUUUGGGAUAACUUCAGGAAACUGGGGCUAAUACCGGAUAGGAGCUCCGGCACCAUGUUGGGGGUUGGAAAGAUUUGGCGGUUGGGGAUGGACUCGCGGCUUAUCAGCUGGUUUGUGGGGUAGGGGCGUACAAAGGCUGUGACGGGUAGCCGGCCUGGGAGCGUGACCGGCCACAUUGGGACUGCGAUACGGACCAGACUCCUACGGGAGGCAGCAGUGGAGAGUAUUGCACAAUGGGCGGAAGCCUGAUGCGACGGCGCCGGGUGCGUGAUGACGGCCUUCGGGUUGUAAACCGCUUUCUCCGGUGACGAAGAGUGAGUGACGGUAAUGGGUAAAGAAGCAACGGCUAACUACGUG
Molecule: ribosomal RNA, 468 nt
Filed under: uncultured bacterium
Lineage: Bacteria
Description: partial 16S ribosomal RNA
Rfam family: Bacterial small subunit ribosomal RNA
Source: RNAcentral